UGACCGCUGGCGGCGUGCCUACUACAUGCACGUCGAGCGACCAGAUGAGGAGCUUGCUCCUCUGACGUUAGCGGCGGACGGGUGAGUAACACGUGGAUAACCUACCUAUAAGACUGGGAUAACUUCGGGAAACCGGAGCUAAUACCGGAUAAUAUAUUGAACCGCAUGGUUCAAUAGUGAAAGACGGUUUUGCUGUCACUUAUAGAUGGAUCCGCGCCGCAUUAGCUAGUUGGUAAGGUAACGGCUUACCAAGGCAACGAUGCGUAGCCGACCUGAGAGGGUGAUCGGCCACACUGGAACUGAGACACGGUCCAGACUCCUACGGGAGGCAGCAGUAGGGAAUCUUCCGCAAUGGGCGAAAGCCUGACGGAGCAACGCCGCGUGAGUGAUGAAGGUCUUCGGAUCGUAAAACUCUGUUAUUAGGGAAGAACAAAUGUGUAAGUAACUAUGCACGUCUUGACGGUACCUAAUCAGAAAGCCACGGCUAACUACGUG
RNAcentral lists this ribosomal RNA (495 nucleotides) under uncultured bacterium. RNAcentral describes it as "partial 16S ribosomal RNA". It matches the Rfam family "Bacterial small subunit ribosomal RNA", at positions 30 to 507 of the family's 1533-position model. The record is from RNAcentral.